CCCUUAGAUGUUCUGGGCCGCACGCGCGCUACACUGACGAAUGCAACGAGCUUAUAACCUUGGCCGAAAGGUCUGGGUAAUCUCCAAAUUUCGUCGUGAUGGGGAUAGAUUAUUGCAAUUAUUAAUCUUCAACGAGGAAUGCCUAGUAAACGCAGAUCAUCAAUCUGCAUUGAUUACGUCCCUGCCCUUUGUACACACCGCCCGUCGCACCUACCGAUUGGAUGGUCCGGUGAGGCCUCGGGAUUGUGGCCGGUGCAUUCAUUUGUGUCGGUUGCGAGAACUUGUCCAAACCUUAUCAUCUAGAGGAAGGUGAAGUCGUAACA
Molecule: ribosomal RNA, 323 nt
Filed under: uncultured eukaryote
Lineage: Eukaryota
Description: partial 18S ribosomal RNA
Rfam family: Eukaryotic small subunit ribosomal RNA
Source: RNAcentral